UCCCACUUCUUCUAAAUCGAGGUUGUUAGUUAUGAAUAUCGGAUGCAGUUUUCACCCAUGUGGCUGGCCAAAUUGAUGGUCCUAAGUCCACACCUGGUGUGUUCUUACCACACUAUCUUGGGUGCACCUCAGUGGAGAAUUAGUCCCAAUCGAUGGGUCUCUUCCGUAACAAUUUUCAUCUGCAGCCUCUUUAUGUAACUACUUAAACUACAUCUUAACUAUAAAAUCCAACUCAACAUGUACAUAAGUGAUGUUUGAUUAUCCAACACAUUUUCACACUUCAUGAAAUAGUAUCAUAUUUAUCAUAUUAUUCUAUAUCAAUAUGAUGCAGUUUUCACCCAUGUGGCUGGCCAAAUUGAUGAUCCUAAGUCCACACCUGGUGUGAUCUUACCACACUAUCUUGGGUGCACCUCAGUGGAGAAUUAGUCCCAAUCGGUGGGUCUCUUCCGUAACAAUUUUCAUCUGCAGCCUCUUUAUGUAACUACUUAAACUACAUCUUAACUACAAAAUUCAACUCAACAUGUACAUAAGUGAUGUUUGAUUAUCCAACACAUUUUCACACUUCAUGAAAUAGUGUCAUAUUUAUCAUAAUAUUCUGUAUCAAUAUGAUUUUUUGUUAGCCUUAAGUUGUUCACCAAAAUACACAUUGUUGCAUUAGCAGUAUAUACAAAAAAAUUGAAGUGCCAUUUUGGUGCAAAUAUUCCAAAAUUUUGCAUGCUACAUGUAUUUAUAUGUCUUUGCUAUUCUGGUCUUUAUGUUCAUGGUUGUAUCUUUGAAUUCAAAAAUAAAUAAAUUUAUUACAAGUGCACAUAUUUAAUCCAACCUCAGAGUGCUAUCUCUCGGAUAUUGCCACUGUUGUAUAUAAUGUUCUAUCUAUAAGAUAGAGCAGGAAAUACUAUUAAUUGAUUCAUAAUUUAAAAAAAAAUUGUAAACCCAUAGGAAUUGAUCAAGAAGGAGAACUCAUACGUUUUUAAUCCACUCAACCACUAAAUGGCACAAGAAACAAAACUGAAAAAGAUAAUUAUGAUCAAUAAUAUAUAAUACUAAUAUAAUAUAUAUUAAUAUUAUUUAUAUUAUUUAUAUU
RNAcentral lists this long non-coding RNA (1084 nucleotides) under Elaeis guineensis (African oil palm). RNAcentral's name for it is "long non-coding RNA (EGUI_LNC044816)". The record is from RNAcentral. Lineage: Eukaryota; Viridiplantae; Streptophyta; Magnoliopsida; Arecales; Arecaceae.